CACGUAGGGCGCGAGCGUUGUCCGGAAUUAUUGGGCGUAAAGAGCUCGUAGGCGGCCUGUUGCGUCCGCUGUGAAAGCCCGGGGCUUAACCCCGGGUCUGCAGUGGAUACGGGGCAGGCUAGAGGUAGGUAGGGGAGAAUGGAAUUCCCGGUGUAGCGGUGAAAUGCGCAGAUAUCGGGAGGAACACCGGUGGCGAAGGCGGUUCUCUGGGCCUUACCUGACGCUGAGGAGCGAAAGCGUGGGGAGCGAACAGGG
Molecule: ribosomal RNA, 255 nt
Filed under: uncultured bacterium
Lineage: Bacteria
Description: partial 16S ribosomal RNA
Rfam family: Bacterial small subunit ribosomal RNA
Source: RNAcentral